This 303-nucleotide small nuclear RNA is filed under the name Callithrix jacchus (white-tufted-ear marmoset). RNAcentral's name for it is "7SK RNA". It matches the Rfam family "7SK RNA". From Rfam's summary of the family: 7SK was discovered as an abundant small nuclear RNA in the mid-70s but a possible function has only recently been suggested. Two independent studies have found that 7SK RNA binds the CDK9/cyclin T complex (known as elongation factor P-TEFb). P-TEFb activates transcription by phosphorylating the C-terminal domain of RNA polymerase II. The record is from Rfam by way of RNAcentral. Lineage: Eukaryota; Metazoa; Chordata; Mammalia; Primates; Cebidae.
GGAUGUGAGGGUGAUCUGGCUGCGACAUCUGUGGCGCCAUUGAUCACCAGGGUUGAUUCAGCUGAUCUGGCUGGCUAGGUGAGUGUCCCCUUCCUCCCUCCCCACUUCACAUGCGUCCCUCCUGAAGCUGUGGGCUUGGCUGAAGAGGACAACUCUCCCUGAUAGAGGACUGUUCUUUGGUAAUGGGCAUAUGAGUAACUGCACUCCCUUUGGGAGGUGAUUAGGUCAUACUAGUGGAGCUCUGCUGAUUGGGGUUCAUGCCCUUUUAAAAGACGCCCCCAGACAGCUAGCUUGUUCCUUCUA